RNAcentral lists this ribosomal RNA (623 nucleotides) under uncultured marine bacterium. RNAcentral's name for it is "bacterial SSU rRNA". It matches the Rfam family "Bacterial small subunit ribosomal RNA", at positions 879 to 1501 of the family's 1533-position model. The record is from RNAcentral.
AGUACGGCCGCAAGGUUAAAACUCAAAUGAAUUGACGGGGGCCCGCACAAGCGGUGGAGCAUGUGGUUUAAUUCGAUGCAACGCGAAGAACCUUACCUACACUUGACAUACAGAGAACUUACCAGAGAUGGUUUGGUGCCUUCGGGAACUCUGAUACAGGUGCUGCAUGGCUGUCGUCAGCUCGUGUUGUGAGAUGUUGGGUUAAGUCCCGCAACGAGCGCAACCCCUAUCCUUAGUUGCUAGCAGGUAAUGCUGAGAACUCUAAGGGGACUGCCGGUGAUAAACUGGAGGAAGGUGGGGACGACGUCAAGUCAUCAUGGCCCUUACGUGUAGGGCUACACACGUGCUACAAUGGCGCAUACAGAGUGCUGCGAACCUGCGAAGGUAAGCGAAUCACUUAAAGUGCGUCGUAGUCCGGAUUGGAGUCUGCAACUCGACUCCAUGAAGUCGGAAUCGCUAGUAAUCGCGUAUCAGUAUGACGCGGUGAAUACGUUCCCGGGCCUUGUACACACCGCCCGUCACACCAUGGGAGUGGGUUGCUCCAGAAGUAGAUAGUCUAACCCUCGGGAGGACGUUUACCACGGAGUGAUUCAUGACUGGGGUGAAGUCGUAACAAGGUAACC